UACGUAGGGUGCGAGCGUUGUCCGGAAUUAUUGGGCGUAAAGAGCUCGUAGGCGGUCUGUCGCGUCGAUCGUGAAAACUUGGGGCUUAACCCUGAGCUUGCGGUCGAUACGGGCAUGACUGGAGUUCGGCAGGGGAGACUGGAAUUCCUGGUGUGGCGGUGAAAUGCGCAGAUAUCAGGAGGAACACCGGUGGCGAAGGCGGGUCUCUGGGCCGAUACUGACGCUGAGGAGCGAAAGUGUGGGGAGCGAACAGG
This 254-nucleotide ribosomal RNA is filed under the name uncultured bacterium. RNAcentral's name for it is "partial 16S ribosomal RNA". It matches the Rfam family "Bacterial small subunit ribosomal RNA", at positions 524 to 776 of the family's 1533-position model. The record is from RNAcentral.